ACGGAAGGCAGCAGUGAGUAAUAUUGGUCAAUGGGCGGAAGCCUGAACCAGCCAAGUCGCGUGAGGGAAGACGGCCCUACGGGUUGUAAACCUCUUCUGCGCGGGGGUAAAGUCGGGGACGGGUCCCCGCUUGCAAGUACCGCGCGAAAAAGGAUCGGCUAACUCCGUGCCAGCAGCCGCGGUAAUACGGAGGAUCCGAGUGUUAUCCGGAUUUAUUGGGUUUAAAGGGUGCGCAGGCGGGAUGUCAAGUCAGUGGUGAAAUGGUGCGGCUCAACCGGAGCAUUGCCGUUGAAACUGCCGUCCUUGAGUGCGAAUGAGGUACGCGGAACGUGUCAUGUAGCGGUGAAAUGCAUAGAUAUGACACAGAACACCGAUUGCGAAGGCAGCGUACUGGGACGCGACUGACGCUGAGGCACGAAAGUGCGGGGAUCGAACAGGAUUAGAUACCGUGGUA
This 454-nucleotide ribosomal RNA is filed under the name uncultured Porphyromonadaceae bacterium. Its description in RNAcentral is "bacterial SSU rRNA". It matches the Rfam family "Bacterial small subunit ribosomal RNA", at positions 341 to 792 of the family's 1533-position model. Lineage: Bacteria; Pseudomonadati; Bacteroidota; Bacteroidia; Bacteroidales; Porphyromonadaceae. The record is from RNAcentral.